RNAcentral lists this ribosomal RNA (468 nucleotides) under uncultured bacterium. Its description in RNAcentral is "partial 16S ribosomal RNA". It matches the Rfam family "Bacterial small subunit ribosomal RNA", at positions 28 to 507 of the family's 1533-position model. The record is from RNAcentral.
GACGAACGCUGGCGGCGUGCUUAACACAUGCAAGUCGAACGGACAGGCCCUGCUUUUGUGGGGUGCUCGAGUGGCGAACGGGUGAGUAACACGUGAGUAACCUGCCCUUGACUUUGGGAUAACUUCAGGAAACUGGGGCUAAUACCGGAUAGGAGCUCCUGCUGCAUGGUGGGGGUUGGAAAGUUUCGGCGGUUGGGGCUGGACUCGCGGCUUAUCAGCUUGUUGGUGGGGUAGUGGCUUACCAAGGCUUUGACGGGUAGCCGGCCUGAGAGGGUGACCGGCCACAUUGGGACUGAGAUACGGCCCAGACUCCUACGGGAGGCAGCAGGGGGGAAUAUUGCACAAUGGGCGGAAGCCUGAUGCAGCAACGCCGCGUGCGGGAUGACGGCCUUCGGGUUGUAAACAGCUUUCGCCUGUGACGAAGAGUGAGUGACGGUAAUGGGUAAAGAAGCACCGGCUAACUACGUG